RNAcentral lists this ribosomal RNA (475 nucleotides) under uncultured organism. RNAcentral's name for it is "partial 16S ribosomal RNA". It matches the Rfam family "Bacterial small subunit ribosomal RNA", at positions 330 to 797 of the family's 1533-position model. The record is from RNAcentral.
CGUACACUCCUACGGGAGGCAGCAGUGGGGAAUUUUGGACAAUGGGCGAAAGCCUGAUCCAGCCAUGCCGCGUGCAGGAUGAAGGCCUUCGGGUUGUAAACUGCUUUUGUACGGAACGAAACGGCCUUUUCUAAUAAAGAGGGCUAAUGACGGUACCGUAAGAAUAAGCACCGGCUAACUACGUGCCAGCAGCCGCGGUAAUACGUAGGGUGCAAGCGUUAAUCGGAAUUACUGGGCGUAAAGCGUGCGCAGGCGGUUAUGUAAGACAGUUGUGAAAUCCCCGGGCUCAACCUGGGAACUGCAUCUGUGACUGCAUAGCUAGAGUACGGUAGAGGGGGAUGGAAUUCCGCGUGUAGCAGUGAAAUGCGUAGAUAUGCGGAGGAACACCGAUGGCGAAGGCAAUCCCCUGGACCUGUACUGACGCUCAUGCACGAAAGCGUGGGGAGCAAACAGGAUUAGAAACCCCGGUAGUCCC